Molecule: long non-coding RNA, 231 nt
Filed under: Mytilus galloprovincialis (Mediterranean mussel)
Lineage: Eukaryota; Metazoa; Mollusca; Bivalvia; Mytilida; Mytilidae
Source: RNAcentral
UUUGUUUACAAUUAUAGAUACUAUCUGUAAUCUCAUGUUUAUGCCCCCCGUAGCGUAGGAUGAAUUAGAUUUUACCUUGUCCGUCUGUACGUACCUCCUAAAGUUAGUUUCCAUUCCGUAAAUGUAGUUUGCCUCAACUAAAUGUUAUGACACUAAUACACAAUGCUUAUAACCACAAAACACAGAUCAAUUUGUGUUUUGGUGACGUCACUUUAAUCGUUCUAGAGUUAU